GACGAACGCUGGCGGCGUGCUUAACACAUGCAAGUCGAACGGAAAGGCCCUGCUUUUGUGGGGUGCUCGAGUGGCGAACGGGUGAGUAACACGUGAGUAACCUGCCCUUGACUUUGGGAUAACUUCAGGAAACUGGGGCUAAUACCGGCUAGGAGCUCCUGCUGCAUGGUGGGGGUUGGAAAGUUUCGGCGGUUGGGGAUGGACCCGCGGCCUAUCAGCUUGUUGGUGGGGUAGUGGCUUACCAAGGCGUCGACGGGUAGCCGGCCUGAGAGGGUGACCGGCCACAUUGGGACUGAGAAACGGCCCAGACGCCUACGGGAGGCAGCAGUGGGGAAUAUUGCACAAUGGGCGGAAGCCUGAUGCAGCAACGCCGCGUGCGGGAUGACGGCCUUCGGGUUGUAAACCGCUUUCGCCUGUGACGAAGCGUGAGUGACGGUAAUGGGUAAAGAAGCACCGGCUAACUACGUG
RNAcentral lists this ribosomal RNA (468 nucleotides) under uncultured bacterium. RNAcentral describes it as "partial 16S ribosomal RNA". It matches the Rfam family "Bacterial small subunit ribosomal RNA", at positions 28 to 507 of the family's 1533-position model. The record is from RNAcentral.